Molecule: ribosomal RNA, 228 nt
Filed under: Triticum aestivum (bread wheat)
Lineage: Eukaryota; Viridiplantae; Streptophyta; Magnoliopsida; Poales; Poaceae
Description: partial small subunit ribosomal RNA
Source: RNAcentral
AUGUCGGUCGAUGGUGUGAAAACACUUCCUGAUGUCGAAUUCCAAAAACCAGCGAGAGGUUCCCCACUCUUCUUUGAUCCGUCUGAGGGCCGAGUGGCAGCCUCGACCCGAGCGGAAGUGCGAUGUGUCUGGAAACUCGGGAUGGAUAAAGUGGGCAAAACAGACUCACAUUUUUUAAUCGAAAAGAUGGGUUCCUUUUUCGUCUCGACAAAGAAAGAAUCAUCUUGA